CAUGUCUUUUUGAUUAUAAUUUAAAGUCUGGUCUGCCCUCUGAUGAAUUGAAUGGCCGCAGUAUAUUGACUGUGCGAAGGUAGCAUAAUCAUUAGUUUUUUAAUUGGAAACUGGAAUGAAUGGCUGGAUGAAAGAAGAUCUGUCUCUUUUGUAAUUUGAUAGAAAUUUAUUUUUGAGUUAAAAAGCUUAAAUUUUUUAUAAAGACGAGAAGACCCUAUAGAGUUUAACAUUGUAACGUCUGAAUAGAUUAGUUUUAUAUUGGUUUUGAAGUUUAUUUUGUUUUGUUGGGGUGAUGCAAAAAUUUGUUUAACUUUUUGUUUAUUUUAACAUUAGUAAGUGAUUGAUUGAUCCUGAAUAUUCGGAGUAUAAGAAUAAAUUACCUUAGGGAUAACAGCGUAAUUUUUCUUGAGAGUUCUUAUCGAAGGAAAAGUUUGCGACCUCGAUGUUGAAUUAAAAUUAAUCUUGGGCGCAGAAGCUUAGGAAUUGGGUCUGUUCGACCUUUAAAAUU
This 508-nucleotide ribosomal RNA is filed under the name Glipa ishigakiana. RNAcentral's name for it is "partial 16S ribosomal RNA". It matches the Rfam family "Bacterial large subunit ribosomal RNA", at positions 1816 to 2595 of the family's 2925-position model. Lineage: Eukaryota; Metazoa; Arthropoda; Insecta; Coleoptera; Mordellidae. The record is from RNAcentral.